Molecule: ribosomal RNA, 119 nt
Filed under: Pteropus alecto (black flying fox)
Lineage: Eukaryota; Metazoa; Chordata; Mammalia; Chiroptera; Pteropodidae
Source: RNAcentral
GUCUAUGGCCAUACUACCCUGAACAAACCUAAUCCCAUCUGAUCUCGGAAACUAAGCAGGGUCAAGCCUGGUUAGUACUUGCAUGGGAGAUCACCUAGGAAGACCAGGUGCUGUAGGUA